Molecule: ribosomal RNA, 497 nt
Filed under: uncultured bacterium
Lineage: Bacteria
Description: partial 16S ribosomal RNA
Rfam family: Bacterial small subunit ribosomal RNA
Source: RNAcentral
GAUGAACGCUGGCGGCGUGCCUAAUACAUGCAAGUCGAGCGAACGGACGAGAAGCUUGCUUCUCUGAUGUUAGCGGCGGACGGGUGAGUAACACGUGGAUAACCUACCUAUAAGACUGGGAUAACUUCGGGAAACCGGAGCUAAUACCGGAUAAUAUUUUGAACCGCAUGGUUCAAAAGUGAAAGACGGUCUUGCUGUCACUUAUAGAUGGAUCCGCGCUGCAUUAGCUAGUUGGUAAGGUAACGGCUUACCAAGGCAACGAUGCAUAGCCGACCUGAGAGGGUGAUCGGCCACACGGGAACGGAGACACGGUCCAGACUCCUACGGGAGGCAGCAGUAGGGAAUCUGCCGCAAUGGGCGAAAGCCUGACGGAGCAACGCCGCGUGAGUGAUGAAGGUCUUCGGAUCGUAAAACUCUGUUAUUAGGGAAGAACAUAUGUGUAAGUAACUGUGCACAUCUUGACGGUACCUAAUCAGAAAGCCACGGCUAACUACGUG